UCAAUUUUCAUCACAUCUUUUACUUUCAAAAAUUAUCAAGAAUAUGUUAACCACAGCAAUUUUAAAUCUUUUGUCAUCUAUGGAUGGUUUUGUGUUUUUCACCGAUGCUUCCCAUCAAGCACUUGCAAAUCUGUUACAGGCCAGAGGACUUUGUUUCAAUGAAAAAGGACUGACUCGGAGAUACAUGGAAAAGAAUUAUGCUACGUACUCUUGUGUAAAAGUUUCUAAUUACAUUGCUUAAAUAACUUUGGGACCAAAACAAUGAACUGAGUCAGGAAUUCCAGAACUCUAGUUGAGAAAGAGAUGGGUUCAUAAGCCUACUAAUCCGGUGGGACAAAAGCUAAUUACAGAGGAGUGAAUAAACUGAUGACGGAUAAUUAUGGGACUUUUUUGGAAUAGGGCUAUGGCUUUAAUGUUUUAUUUUCUGGACAUAAAUAACCUCCUCCUCUUUUUUAAGCUAUCACUCAUAACAAUUUUAAGGACUAUGCUCAUUCCUUGUAAACAGAAAUGAAACUUGAUUUUUCUCCUCAACUCCCCCUUUCAAAAUUUGGAAACUCCAAUUGAGUCUUCUUAUCUUCAUGGCAAUAUAGUUAUUUGCAUAGGUUCCAUAAGAGUCUGUCCUCCUUGUUAACAGGACACGAACAAAACCAUUGGUAAUAAAACCAAGCUUUGCCUGGAUCUCAUAUUUGAGAAUGAUGCUUAUUUGAUCAGAUAUGACCAGACGCUUUUAAGGAACUCAAGUUGACCUUAUGGGACCAAUGCUUCCAAAGCGCCUCUUGUGAAAACUGGCUUGAAACCUGGCUUUGCAGGGUUCACAGCUUUGCAGGUGAGCAAGGAAUGUCAUUUCCCAGCAGGUUCUGGAAACUUAGGAUAUUUGUGGGAUCUCAAGGAAAAAGGGAUGCCUGCCAAAUCGAUAGGUACUGCAUGUGAAAUCCGAUGUGAGUUUUUGGCAUGGCUUCUCAUCCUCAGGAGGCUUUGAAAAGUUCAACUUGACAUUCUUUAUGAAAACUUCCAGCAAAGCAAAUAUAAGAAAAUCGAUAUGUAGAUUGCCACUUUUGCUGUACCUAUGCAAAUAACCAGGCCAAAUCUCAUGAGCCCAAUCUUAAUCAGUCACCAAAAACAAUCUUUCUUUGAGAUUAUCUUUGAUCAAAAGGGGAGGAGUAACUGUAGAAAGAAAAUUUGUGUUUCCAUGGGAAAUCAUAGCACGUCCUUCUGGAUUAUCAGAUCCUGAUCCUGUUUAUUUUUGUUUGAGCUAUCUAGGACCUCUUUGUAAACUGCAGGUAACUGAUCGAUAUGCAAACUGUCUCUUGUCUGGUAGAGAUUUAAUUGGCUUUCCCGCACACUAUGGGAAAACCAGUUUUUGUAACUACUAAUAAAUUGUACUUGAAUGUGCUAUCUUGCACAAAUUGUCAAUUAUUACUAAAUUUUCAAAUCUUCCAAUUUCCCUCAAUAUCUAGCUAUAAAUCCCUAAACUAACCUUCCAAUUUUUCUCCUUUUCUCUUUACUCAGAGUCACUGAGAAAACCUUACUAUCCAGAUCCCAAUUCAGACCCUAAGUUGCCUUGUGGCUGGCCCCCAGGCUCUGAAGAAUUACUGCAAGCUCAAGUCUGAUUACUUGUUUUAAACCUGCAAAGACCCAUCAUUGCUAGCAGACUAUGCAUGGGUUCUCUUUUCCUCUGGACAAGGCCUGACUGGAACACAAAAGAAGUAUGGGGAAAUGCCCAGGUCAUGCAUGUUCUGAUACAAGAGGUAACCCAGACUCUGGGUCACAUUACCAAGACCAUCAAAAUGCUCAAAGAGCAAUGCUGCAUGAUCAAAAGGGUUCAUCCACUAACCUCUUGGAACUCUCUGGAAUAGUUACCCUUGGAUUUAACUUCUGUAUUUCUCACUUUAGUAUAUCCUUUUAUAUUAACAUGUCUCUUUUUUCCUUUUAGGCAUCCCACUUUUAAGAUGCCUGAUCUGAAGGGCACUAAAACAACUGACCUUUGCCAGCAUGCCCCACAGAUGGUUCAGCUAGUCCUCCAGGAACAACACUGAAGCUUCAGCUGAUAAUUUAGAAGAGAGUAGAUGGAAAAUAUUUUUCCCUCCUGUCCAAAUGCAAGGAUAAUCUUACAUGAGUCCAGGAGGAAGCAGCCCAUCUUGGAAAGGCAUUUCCUUAGCAUUCCUGUUUGUCUCGUGCCAGCUCGCCAGCCAGGGGGCCCACCGAGAGGUGAGCCAGGGGAAAGUGAGUGAGCGCACAGACUCAUAGUGCAAACUGCAGCUCCGCUUAGCACAGGGGAGCUGAUCUGUGUUGACUCAUGCCAGCAAAAGCCACCUUUCCCAAGCUCUGUUACCUCUCCAGCAUAAGUUCCUGUUGCCUGAUUGCAUCUGGUGAGUCAAAUUUUUGUGGGGUAGAGCCCAGGUAUAACUGAGACAAUAGGACUCUUUCCCACUAGUGGAGAACUAAGCUUUUGCAAUGAAAAAGACAGAGGGAAAAAAUAACCCAUAUUGCCCUAAGACAAUUCAGAUUAAGAGUAAGACACUCAAAUUUUAGCAACUCAAAAGGGAGGCAGAAACAGCUACAGCUACUGGGGACAUGGGAGGAUGCCUAGGAAGGAAGUGGUUCUAGGCACUGGCACUGGAGAAGACAUAGCAUGUCCUAUCUCCUGAAGAAAUAAAACUAACAGAAAUUACUUAUAUAGCAUGCACUGUAUGUCAGGAACUAUUGUAAACACUUUAUAAAAUAAAUAUAAAUUAUUUAAUCUUCACAGCAACAGUACAACAUAAAUACUGUGAGAGCCCCCACUUUACAGAUGGCAAAACUAAGUCAGAGACAGGUUAAGUCACUUAAAUUCACAGAGCUAAUCAGCGGUAGACUCUAGGCAGUCUGGCUCCAAAGUCAAUGCUUUUACCAAUCCCUCAACCCCAUACUACAUGAAGAAUCAAUUUUACUAUGAACAUGGGCUCCUAAUUAGAUAGGUAGACAAGCCCUGGAAUUCUCCAGAGGUCAGAAACCUGCAAAAGAGCAAGCACUCUGAAGCUCAAGCCUUGCAGACAGCUAAGCAUUGAUAAGACCAGCUGUGUCUACGCCUUCCUUCUCCAUUCAUUCACUAGUAGUCAUUGGACCCAUUAGAGUUUGUAGAUAUGAACUGAGUUUGUACUCUGAUAGUUUUUUUUAAAAAGCGAAUCACAAAGUUUGAUUUUCCAGCUACCAUAGUCUAGUUUCAUACAGAGUGGAGACUAUCUGAGACUCAGAGAGAGCAAGUGGAUGUUUGGAGAGUAGCCGUCUGUGAGUAGAUAACUUGAUCUGUGCGGGCCGUGCUGUGCUGUUUCUGCGCUUAUGGAGAUUCCAGUCUAAAAGGAAAGGCCAGUAUUAAUCACCUAAUCCAUUAGUGAAUGCUACCUGCAAAGCAGGUGAGGUGCGCUGAAGGAAAGGAAGACAGGUCAAUAUCAGGGACUCACAAAGGAAGCUGAGCUGGCCCUGGAGCAGCAGAAGGGCUUGGCUUGAGAAACAGGUGCUUGGAUUGAGAGCUGAAAGAUGAAAAGGCUUUUUUUUUUUUAAGGUGGCACAAGAAAAAAGAUGAGAAGAUAAUUCUAGGUGGUAUAAAUGGCACUUGCAAAGGCAAGAGAGGGCAGGCUCUGAAGCCUCCUGGUAAGGCCAGCCCCAAGGCAGGGAGCAGGGUACGGAAUGAGUUGAGGCUGGAGUGGCAAGGAGCGGCAGGCCAUGCAGCAAUGGACAGAGUCACGAUCUCUGUGCAAAGAGCACUGGGGAGCCAUGGAAGGACAUAGACAGAGCAGUGGCAUGAAGCAAGAAACACCUAACGUAUCUAAUAAGUGACUAGACUAAUACUCAAACUCAGAUCCUUUGCCCUUCUUCCUCCCAAUCUCCAACCUCACUGCGUUUCACCAGCCCAGGAAGUUCUGCCAGUAGAGGUCCUCAACAAGCCACACAGAUCACAAACCUCAGGGUUGGCAGGGACUUGGCUGUCUUGGAGACACAUCCACUGGCUAAGCACUCCCUUGAACUCUCUGAAUCCCAGCCCAUCUCCAGUCCGUGUGAAACUAGAUUCCUGGAUUCAGCAUAUGCUUAAUAGCUGAGUCAUCUCUAUCAAAUUAAAUCACUUCUAUGAGCCUUCCUUUCUACACCUGCACAACGGGAGUGCCAGUGUCAACUGAUCAUUAAGAUAAUGUAGGUGAUGUUUUCAGCACCAUAGCCAAUCCUUAGCAGAUGCCCAAAGAGUGACAAUUGAAUCUGAAUUCAACCAUUCAUCUUGAGCUAUAUCUUCCUCCCACCUCAGCUGUGACAGCUCUAAGACAUUAUCCUGCAUAUCAGACCGGGCUUAUCAUUAAAUAAGCCUAUUAGUCCACUAAAUAAUUAUGCAGGUUAUAGCAACCCAUAGCUAAAACAGAAAUUUUUAAAAAAUAAUAAAAUUACCCACAGUGGAGAAAGGAGAAACUGAAGAAACGUCAUCUUUCUGGUAUAAUUUUCCAUGUUUUAUUCCUGGAAAAAUAGCCAGCAUAAGUUUGCAUGGUGUUUAAAAAAUUAAUGUCACCUCACCAGAAGACAAUGAGUUAAAUAUUUCCAUUGAAAAUAAGCAUUUGAAAACAGUCUCUAUUUGUAUAUUUCUUCAUCUAUUCAAUUUA
Sapajus apella (tufted capuchin) is the source of this 4622-nucleotide long non-coding RNA. RefSeq lists it as uncharacterized. The record is from RefSeq and is a predicted model, not a curated record. NCBI's taxonomy places the organism in Eukaryota, Metazoa, Chordata, Mammalia, Primates, Cebidae. The transcript has 3 exons.